AUGUAUAUAUACAUAUAUAUAGAGAGAGAGACAGAGAGAGAGACACACACACACAGAGAGACAGAGAGAUUUAAAAAGUGCAAUAUUAAAACAAAAGUGGAGUCUUUUAAGGCCAUUGUGUAAAGACACACUCUGAGUUAUAACUUAGUGGCACUCCC
Molecule: non-coding RNA, 158 nt
Organism: Myotis daubentonii (Daubenton's bat)
Lineage: Eukaryota; Metazoa; Chordata; Mammalia; Chiroptera; Vespertilionidae
Product: small Cajal body-specific RNA 1
Source: RefSeq, a predicted model, not a curated record